GCUGUAAGGCGCCACUAAAAGAUGAGGGUGCGGAACAUUAGUUAGUUGGUGAGGUAAUGGCCCACCAAGACUAUGAUGUUUAGCCGGGUCGAGAGACUGAACGGCCACAUUGGGACUGAGAUACGGCCCAAACUCCUACGGGAGGCAGCAGUAGGGAAUAUUCCACAAUGAGCGAAAGCUUGAUGGAGCGACACAGCGUGCACGAUGAAGGUCUUCGGAUUGUAAAGUGCUGUUAUAAGGGAAGAACAUUUGCAAUAGGAAAUGAUUGCAGACUGACGGUACC
Molecule: ribosomal RNA, 283 nt
Filed under: uncultured bacterium
Lineage: Bacteria
Description: partial 16S ribosomal RNA
Rfam family: Bacterial small subunit ribosomal RNA
Source: RNAcentral